UACGUAGGAUGCAAGCGUUAUCCGGAAUCAUUGGGCGUAAAGCGUCCGCAGGUGGAACAGUAAGUUGAGCGAUAAAUACCAGUGCCUAACAUUGGUGCCUCGUUCAAUACUGCUGAUCUAGAGGAUGGGAGGGGCAGACGGAAUUCCCGGUGUAGGGGUAAAAUCCGUAGAUAUCGGGAAGAACACCAAAAGCGAAGGCAGUCUGCUGGAACAUUCCUGACACUCAUGGACGAAAGCGUGGGGAGCGAAAAGG
Molecule: ribosomal RNA, 253 nt
Filed under: uncultured bacterium
Lineage: Bacteria
Description: partial 16S ribosomal RNA
Rfam family: Bacterial small subunit ribosomal RNA
Source: RNAcentral